This 425-nucleotide ribosomal RNA is filed under the name uncultured bacterium. Its description in RNAcentral is "partial 16S ribosomal RNA". It matches the Rfam family "Bacterial small subunit ribosomal RNA", at positions 354 to 796 of the family's 1533-position model. The record is from RNAcentral.
GUGGGGAAUAUUGGACAAUGGGCGCAAGCCUGAUCCAGCCAUGCCGCGUGAGUGAUGAAGGCCCUAGGGUUGUAAAGCUCUUUCACCGGUGAAGAUAAUGACGGUAACCGGAGAAGAAGCCCCGGCUAACUUCGUGCCAGCAGCCGCGGUAAUACGAAGGGGGCUAGCGUUGUUCGGAAUUACUGGGCGUAAAGCGCACGUAGGCGGACAUUUAAGUCAGGGGUGAAAUCUCAUAGCUCAACUCUGGAACUGACUUUGAUACUGGGUGGCUUGAGUAUGGAAGAGGGAAGUGGAAUUCCGAGUGUAGAGGUGAAAUUCGUAGAUAUUCGGAGGAACACCAGUGGCGAAGGCGGCUUACUGGUCCAUUACUGACGCUGAGGUGCGAAAGCGUGGGGAGCAAACAGGAUUAGAAACCCCGGUAGUCC